GGAGAUUUAACUCAGUGGCACAGCACAAGCCUGGCAAGUGUGGGAUCCUGAGUUCUAUUCCCAGAACCUCCC
This 72-nucleotide transfer RNA is filed under the name Cavia porcellus (domestic guinea pig). It matches the Rfam family "tRNA". From Rfam's summary of the family: Transfer RNA (tRNA) molecules are approximately 80 nucleotides in length. Their secondary structure includes four short double-helical elements and three loops (D, anti-codon, and T loops). Lineage: Eukaryota; Metazoa; Chordata; Mammalia; Rodentia; Caviidae. The record is from Rfam by way of RNAcentral.